CAAGGGUGCGUAACGCGUGAGCAACAUGCCCGUAUCAGGGGGAUAAUCCAUGGAAACGUGGUCUAAUACCCCAUAGUAAUUAUGUAAGGCAUCUUAUAUAAUUUAAAGCUUUGGUGGAUACGGAUUGGCUCGCGUGACAUUAGCUAGAUGGUAAGGUAACGGCUUACCAUGGGCUACGAUGUCUAGGGGUUCUGAGAGGAAGGUCCCCCACACUGGAACUGAGACACGGUCCAGACUCCUACGGGAGGCAGCAGUGAGGAAUAUUGGACAAUGGAUGGAAAUCUGAUCCAGCCAUGCCGCGUGCAGGAAGAACCGGCCCUAUGGGUUGUAAACUGCUUUUGUAUGGGAGCAAUAAGGGCUACGCGUAGUCCGAUGAGAGUACCAUACGAAUAAGCACCGGCUAACUCCGUGCCAGCAGCUGC
This 422-nucleotide ribosomal RNA is filed under the name uncultured bacterium. RNAcentral describes it as "bacterial SSU rRNA". It matches the Rfam family "Bacterial small subunit ribosomal RNA", at positions 100 to 518 of the family's 1533-position model. The record is from RNAcentral.